Molecule: long non-coding RNA, 511 nt
Organism: Vigna unguiculata (cowpea)
Lineage: Eukaryota; Viridiplantae; Streptophyta; Magnoliopsida; Fabales; Fabaceae
Source: RefSeq, a predicted model, not a curated record
ACCUUUCUGCAGAAUGAAUUGUGUCUUCUCCACUCCUGCUCAACUUUUGUUGAUGAUGAUUUUGUGGAUGUCCAAGCACAAGCUGCACAUUCUGCUUGUUACAUUCUGUGGUUGAAAGUGCAAGUCCCUGAGUCUCUGGUGAAUCAGCUCCAAGAGAAGCUAAGAGAUGAUGAUCUGAAGACCCUGCUGAAUAAGUCAUGCCUAGAGAGAUCCUCAAUGUUCAAUUACUUCAUGAACUAGAAGAAAGCGUAUGAGCUACAUGGGAUGUAGUAGAUCUUAUUACUCAUUCUAACAGUUAGUUUAUCUUAUUUUAUGUCUGGUACAUUUGUGUAUGAAUUUGGCUCCCGUGAGAUGAACCUUGCACUUUGCAGGUUAAAAGCAGAGUUUAAAUAACUCCAUACAUGUAUUUGUAAGAACAUCCAUAGGAAGUUGCUUUCAUAACAAGUGUUCUUGAUGUGUUUCAUAUGAAACUAUUUACAGUAACAAUGUUAGUUUGAGGUCAUAUUUCAUU